GCGCACGCGCGUGAGGGAUGUCGCGGGUGAGUGGUGUCGAGGCCUGUUGGGUCAGGGCGGUUCGCAGGUGCUGUCAGAGCUGGGCGGGGCAGCCGGGUCGUAGAGGCGGGCGCCAGUCGCGGUCGGUGGAGAGGGAUGAGGAUGUAGGAGGGACGGACGUGGCGGAAGCCGCGGGGACUGCGGGGGCGGAGUGCCUCUGGGGAGCCAGGGAGGCCUUUCCAGAGGCUCCUGGGGGAAGAAGAGGCGAAGCGAGAGUCCCCGGGGAAGCCCUACUCCACCCCCAGCCGGAGCCUGGGUUGUGCCUGCACGGACCAGAGCCCACAGUGCGAGUUGCUGUAGGCAACCAGCUAGGGUGGCCAACUUCUCCCGGUUGGCCCGAGAUGUUCUGGUUUUGGGACCACAGCGUCCCAGGCCUCCAGCCCACCACAGUGACCAUAUUGUGCGCCCCCUGCCCAUCUUCUCCCGCAGCUUCCCUAGAUUAGGCUUGGGAGGCAAGGGGAGGCCUCCUGACUUUUCUCACUGCCUUCGUUAAUAUAAAGAUGAAGGCACACUCCACAACUUCCUUCUGGCCAGGCCCAGACAUGUCUGUCCUUGUGAGAUAAAAGCUUCCAUGGGAGCCUUCCUUCCUAAUCAAGGUAGGUAGACCACUGGAAGGUACAUCUGGUUUUAUAUUUUGUCCUGUAGAAGUCAGAUUUCAGCCCAGUUGUGUAGGAGUGAGGAUGAGCUUAUGCUCUUAUCAGAGCUUUGAGUACAGAGACAUUUGAUCUGGAAUUUCAGCCAGCCUCUUCAACCCCAGAAUUCAGAGGUUCAAUCAGAACAGACAUUAGCUUAAGUUUUCCCAUCAGUUGUCUAUCAUUAAACUGGCAAAAUCUAGAUAAUUAGAAAAUAUGACAGAGAUGAUCCAGACAGAGAUGUUCAGGUUUUUCCUUGUGUAAUUCAAAAAGUCUCGUGGUGGAACAUCUGACCCUUUUCAAGAGGAAGGAUGAAAACUCUACAUAGGAACACGAUGUGAAUGGAAGAAACCUGUCAUUAUGCAAAUAGUACGGUAUUCCGAACAGACACUAAAAAUAGCUGUCAUCUCAAAGAAUCCAGUGCUUGUGUCACAGUAUGAGAAAGUAGAUGCUGGGGAACAGCGUUUAAUGAAUGAAGCAUUCCAGCCAGCCAGUGAUCUCUUUGGACCUUGCAUUCUCCAUCAGAUUGGAUCACCUCCCACCCUGAGGCCCCCCAAGACUUUGAACAGUUCUUCAGUCAUCCUUACAGAAAGAUACCCUCUCCAGACAAACGCAGUAUUUAUAUACGGUCCAUUGGAUCUCUAUGAAGCACCAGAAUUAUCAGUGAAGAAUAUAUUAAAUGGCUCACGGGCUACUGUAAAGCAUAUUUCUAUCGCUUGAGAGUAAAACUGCUAGAACCAGUUCCUGUUUCUACAACAAGGUGUUCCUUUAGAGUCAAUGAGAACACACAAAACCUACAAAUUCAUGCAGGGGACAUCCUGAAGUUCUUGAAAAAGAAGAAACCUGAAGAUGCCUUCUGUGUUGUGGGAAUAACAAUGAUUGAUCUUUACCCAAGAGACUUGUGGAAUUUUGUCUUUGGACAGGCCUCUUUGACAGAUGGCACUGGUGAGGUGGAUUGAUGAUGAAUCUUCUGGCACACCUGGAGCAACUCCAGAACACAGUCGUGAGGAUAAUGGGAAUUUACUGAAACCCGUGGAAGGAAGCCUUUAAGGAAUGGAAAGAGUGGAUAAUAAAAUGCCUGACUGUUCUCCAAAAAUAAGGACCUUCAAAUAGGAGUGAUUGAAAUAAAUGACUACUUGCAUGUUAUGCUUUCAUUUGGGUGGAAUACUUCAUCAGAAUAAACUAUUGAUCUUGUGCUGUGUCAAAGUAACAGACUAGAACCUUCUUUCAAGUACCUGAAUUGAAAUGAAACUCAUUUUGAAUAAUAAAAACUCUAGAAACUCUUUAUCUUCUCAUCUUACUGGCCUGGUCUGUGGCAGCAAGCACAUUAUUUCCAUUCCCCAAAUAUGUUUAGGUCUCCCAAGAAAGCUGGGACUGGCGGUAAUGAGCAAGUAAAUAACUUGAAAAAGAACUGUAGAUGCCCCAAGGAACCAACCAACAUAAUUUCCAGGGGGUGAUUUUGUUUUUAGAAGAGCUGCUCCCCUCUGUUAGGGCCAGCCAAGUCACAUUUUUGGACGUCCGUGGACUCUGAUCACCACAGCCCUCCUCUUCCGUGAGCCUUCCUUACUCUCUCGAGUGCAUUAGCUCAUUUUUUUUCUUUUGCUGGUUGUCACCUUAUUCCUGUUUUAGUUUUUAGCAGCUUAAAAUACGACCUCUCAGGAAUAUUUGCAAGUGAAAAUAACAAUGGUCCUUACACUACCACAACAUUUGGUGGUGGGAGUUCCGUUGCAGGUCUCAGCUAUAACAUAGUCAUUUAUGAGGGAUCUUACAAAUAGUGUGUAAUGGUAUUUAUAUUUGUGAGUGUUACACUUUCUCUAUAGACUUAGAGCAGCUUUCAGGUUUAUUUCAGUAAUAAUGUCUUUCUCACCUUCUCACAUUGUGAAGUGUUUACCUGAGUCAGGGAGAGAGUUUAAUGGGGUUAUCUGUCGGGGUGCCAUGAAUGCUGAUGAUGGUCUGCAGGUUGUGAACAUCAGCCCCAUUGCUACAGGGGUGGACAGGUGGAAAAGCUCAGACUUGACAAACCACCUCUGCUAGAUAGAUGUGUCUUGGAAAUCCAGAAAUUACAGUGAAUAUUUUAUGGAAUGCCAGUGAGCAGACAGCAUUUCCCACUUUCCUAUCUUACCUUGAGGGUAAGACUUAAAGGUAUUUUUUUUUCUUGUAAUUUGAAGCCUAAAUUCUUUGAUUGUUUGAUGUAUGCAAUAUGAUGUAAGGCACAUUUUAUACCCCUAGUCAGUGGUUUCCCUUGGAUUCAUUCUCCUACUUGAUUGAACCCAUUUAAGUCAUUUUAGGAAAUGGUGGUUUGCUAUUAAAAUUAAUUGGAGAGAAUACUUGGUCAUUCUGUUAGCAAAAAGAGACUGAUGGAGCAUGGUGUUUUAUGGAUUCUGUUACAGGGCUUAUUCCUCCUUGAAUAAUGUGCUUUAAAAAUUAUUGUCCAUUCGAUUACAUUUUCUUUUAUUUUCCUACAAUGUAAGCACGGUUUUAGUCCUGUAGGUCAGCCUUUCUCACAAACUCUUUUGAACUAAGAUUUGCCUAGGUGAAUAAAUUGGGGAUGACGGUUGUCUGGAGAAGAUAUAAGGUCCAUUUGUGAAUACUCUGCACUAUGAGACCAGGAGAAAAAUCAUCUAAGAAAUCGUUCACUCUUGCUAAAAACUGAACUAAAUUUUAUAUGAUGCAUUUAUUCAGCAAUCAUAAGUGCUGUGCAUAACUAUUGUACAUAUUUUUGGACAAUUUCUUAGGGUUCAGCUUAAAAAUAUAAUUUGCCUACUGCAACU
RNAcentral lists this long non-coding RNA (3442 nucleotides) under Homo sapiens (human). Its description in RNAcentral is "non-protein coding lnc-GNA13-2:6". Lineage: Eukaryota; Metazoa; Chordata; Mammalia; Primates; Hominidae. The record is from RNAcentral.